UUUCAGUAUCUCGUAGUGUCCCAGUCCAUUUAUUACUUUAAUAAGAUGCUUAGAAAAAACAACAACAAUAACAACAAAAUGUACCUAAUAAAAUUGUCCCAUUAGUCAGUGGAGUUCUCUAUUUCUCUCUCUUUAACACAAACCAGCUCUCUCUGUCCCCCCAUUGGUCUGUGAGAUGUCUAAUCAAUCCUCAUUGGCUGGUGAUUCCACACCACACCCUCUCCAUGGAGCAGCAGCCUGUUGCCAUAGCAACCUUGGGGGUCAGGGUUUAGAAGCGUGCCUCAGGUCAAGUGGGCGGUGACCUGUGAAGCCCCCCUCCCUGACGGGCUCACAGACAAUCCCAGCGUCCGAGAGUCAAAAAGGAAGUUGGCCUGCUGGUCUCCAUUGAGCGUGCACAGACUGUCCGUCAGGGUUCCACUGGGGGAGGAGCCAAGGAAAGGGUUCUGAUUGGCCACAGCAGCACAAGAAACCGCCAUCUUGUCUGGGUUGGCUGCGAUGUUAGUGGGGGGGUUGGCGUAACCAUAGAGACCGUAGUGGGGGGAAUGGAGGCAGAUACUACCGUAGCCCUGGCGGGGUGGAGGAUGCAGGUAGCCAAUCUGAGAGGGGGGUGAGGACAUGGAGCAGAAUACUUCACGGUCAUAAGCUGACGGUCUUCGCACCACAGGAAGGGGGAAGGGGGAAGCGGGGUUGACGUAGUGAUGGAGGGGGUGUGUGUGUGUGUGUGUUGGUCGGCUGCAGGUGUAGUCCAGGGGAGAAUGAGGGCACACCUUGAAUGGGGAGGAGCAAGGAGAAGAGGAGAGCAGGUGAGAUGGGACUCCAUGCGACCCCGGGACUCCUGCAGGGAGACAGACAGGGGUUAGAGACACCAGUAUCUUUAUAGACAGACAGGUGUUAGAGACACCAGUAUCAUUAUAGACAGACAGGGGGUUAGAGACACCAGUAUCAUUAUAGACAGACAGGUGUUAGAGACACCAGUAUCAUUAUAGACAGACAGGGGUUAGAGACACCAGUAUCAUUAUAGACAGACAGGGGGUUAGAGACACCAGUAUCAUUAUAGACAGACAGGGGUUAGAGACACCAGUAUCUUUAUAGACAGACAGGUGUUAGAGACACCAGUAUCAUUAUAGACAGACAGGGGGUUAGAGACACCAGUAUCAUUAUAGACAGACAGGUGUUAGAGACACCAGUAUAAUUAUAGACAGACAGGGGUUAGAGACACCAGUAUCAUUAUAGACAGACAGGGGUUAGAGACACCAGUAUCAUUAUAGACAGACAGGGGUUAGAGACACCAGUAUCAUUAUAGACAGAGAGGGGUUUAGAGACACCAGUAUCAUUAUAGACAGACAGGGGGUUAGAGACACCAGUAUCAUCAUAGACAGACAGGGGUUUAGAGACACCAGUAUCAUUAUAGACAGAGAGGGGUUUAGAGACACCAGUAUCAUUAUAGACAGACAGGGGUUUAGAGACACCAGUAUCAUAAAAGACAGACAGGGGGUUAGAGACACCAGUAUCAUUAUAUACAGACAGGGGGUUAGAGACACCAGUAUCAUUAUAGACAGGGGGUAAGAGACACCAGUAUCAUUAUAGACAGACAGGGGUUAGAGACACCAGUAUCAUUAUAGACAGACAGGGGUUAGAGACAUCAGUAUCAUUAUAGACAGACAGGGGUUAGAGACACCAGUAUAAUUAUAGACAUACAGGUGUUAGAGACACCAGUAUCAUUAUAGACAGACAGGGGUUAGAGACACCAGUAUCAUUAUAGACAGACAGGGGUUAGAGACACCAGUAUC
Molecule: long non-coding RNA, 1790 nt
Organism: Oncorhynchus tshawytscha (Chinook salmon)
Lineage: Eukaryota; Metazoa; Chordata; Actinopteri; Salmoniformes; Salmonidae
Source: Ensembl